This 449-nucleotide ribosomal RNA is filed under the name uncultured bacterium. RNAcentral describes it as "bacterial SSU rRNA". It matches the Rfam family "Bacterial small subunit ribosomal RNA", at positions 328 to 793 of the family's 1533-position model. The record is from RNAcentral.
GAUCCAGACUCCUACGGGAGGCAGCAGUGGGGGAUAUUGCACAAUGGGGGGAACCCUGAUGCAGCGACGCCGCGUGGGUGAAGGAGUGCUUCGGCAUGUAAAGCCCUAUCGGCAGGGAAGAAGCAAGACGGUACCUGACUAAGAAGCCCCGGCUAACUACGUGCCAGCAGCCGCGGUAAUACGUAGGUGGCAAGCGUUGUCCGGAUUUACUGGGUGUAAAGGGCGUGUAGCCGGGAAGGCAAGUCAGAUGUGAAAUCCGGAGGCUCAACCUCCGAAUUGCAUUUGAAACUGUUUUUCUUGAGUACUGGAGAGGCAGACGGAAUUCCUUGUGUAGCGGUGAAAUGCGUAGAUAUAAGGAGGAACACCAUUGGCGAAGGCGGUCUGCUGGACCGCGACUGACGUUGAGGCUCGAAAGCGUGGGGAGCGAACAGGAUUAGAUACCCUCGUAA